Long non-coding RNA from Acipenser ruthenus (sterlet), 758 nucleotides. RefSeq lists it as uncharacterized. The transcript is spliced from 3 exons. The record is from RefSeq and is a predicted model, not a curated record. Lineage: Eukaryota; Metazoa; Chordata; Actinopteri; Acipenseriformes; Acipenseridae.
GUGAAGCUUGGAGUAGACCUAGGUGGUCAAAGAAAAGUUUCAUUGUACAGGGUUCCUUCCCACCUCCACGUCUGCCCGAGAAAGCACACCAUGUGUGUUGUAAUAGAACAGAAGAAAGAUCCCUGAACUCCUGGCACAUCUGCUUGCCAACAGAGGAACAACUGGAGAACACUAAACCGUCAAGCUGGUGGCACAGACGCUGCAGGCCCUGCUCCGUCUCCAGUUGUAGAGGAGAAUUGCUUAUUUGAGGUCUCCAAAGAUGUUCCUCAGCUGUGCCUGUAUUCUUGAAGGUCAUUGAAGUCGAAUUCGAUUUUAGAUUUUUAAACAGUAGAUUUGCUUUUGUUUAUUUGUUUCUGUAACAAACCUGUGAUUUUCCCAAAUACACAUUCACACCAAAAAAAAUGGAAGCAAUUUGUUUCAUUAGCACUUCAAAAGGAGAAAGAAGUUGAUUGAACGUCUGCAUGAGCCCCCAGUGGAGAAACUGAGAUCUUCAUUAUCCAAUCAUGUCUCUAACUUGCCAAAUAGUCUAUUGCUUGGGGAGAGUGGGACCUGGCUUUAUAAAAACUUCAUCGUGUCCCAGCUGAGUGCACUAUUACACACAGAAAUACAACUAGUUUUAAUGAGCAUAGAUAAAACAAAGCUCUGCUUACUAAGUACACCCUCGAUAAUGAAACUAUAUUCAUUUCAUUACAAACUAUUCAUAAUUACAAUGUACUUAAUGCAUACUUUUUUUUAGACAAUAUAACUCUAACUCUAAC